RNAcentral lists this transfer RNA (50 nucleotides) under Moniliformis sp. XH-2020. RNAcentral's name for it is "tRNA-Asn". Lineage: Eukaryota; Metazoa; Acanthocephala; Archiacanthocephala; Moniliformida; Moniliformidae. The record is from RNAcentral.
UGUGGGUAAAUUGGAAUUGUUACUUCCUACAUGGUUAACACCACCCACAU